CAAGUCGAACGGCAGCGCGGGGCAACCUGGCGGCGAGUGGCGAACGGGUGAGUAAUAUAUCGGAACGUACCCUGGAGUGGGGGAUAACGUAGCGAAAGUUACNCUAAUACCGCAUACGAUCUAAGGAUGAAAGUGGGGGAUCGCAAGACCUCAUGCUCCUGGAGCGGCCGAUAUCUGAUUAGCUAGUUGGUAGGGUAAAAGCCUACCAAGGCAUCGAUCAGUAGCUGGUCUGAGAGGACGACCAGCCACACUGGAACUGAGACACGGUCCAGACUCCUACGGGAGGCAGCAGUGGGGAAUUUUGGACAAUGGGCGCAAGCCUGAUCCAGCAAUGCCGCGUGAGUGAAGAAGGCCUUCGGGUUGUAAAGCUCUUUUGUCAGGGAAGAAACGGACUUUUCUAAUACAGAGGUCUAAUGACGGUACCUGAAGAAUAAGCACCGGCUAACUACGUGCCAGCAGCCGCGGUAAUACGUAGGGUGCAAGCGUUAAUCGGAAUUACUGGGCGUAAAGCGUGCGCAGGCGGUUUUGUAAGACUGUCGUGAAAUCCCCGGGCUCAACCUGGGAAUGGCGAUGGUGACUGCAAGGCUAGAGUUUGGCAGAGGGGGGUAGAAUUCCACGUGUAGCAGUGAAAUGCC
This 635-nucleotide ribosomal RNA is filed under the name uncultured Duganella sp. RNAcentral's name for it is "bacterial SSU rRNA". It matches the Rfam family "Bacterial small subunit ribosomal RNA", at positions 58 to 690 of the family's 1533-position model. Lineage: Bacteria; Pseudomonadati; Pseudomonadota; Betaproteobacteria; Burkholderiales; Oxalobacteraceae. The record is from RNAcentral.